Long non-coding RNA from Rattus norvegicus (Norway rat), 1037 nucleotides. RefSeq lists it as uncharacterized. The record is from RefSeq and is a predicted model, not a curated record. NCBI's taxonomy places the organism in Eukaryota, Metazoa, Chordata, Mammalia, Rodentia, Muridae.
AAAGUCUUCAUGUGACAGGAUGGCCCAGAGGCCUAUAGAGGUGCUGUGACUUAUCCAGGUCAUCCUCUGAGUAGGACAGCCGAGGUCUGCACUGGGUACUUCAUCGUCUGGGCUGGCUCUAUCAAUCUGCCUCACAACCGUGAUGGAGGGGAAGCCCAGAAAAGUCACUUUGUCCUGUGCUCGCUAGUGAUUCCUAGAAACGCAUCAGCUUCCCCUGAGUCUCAUAGGUGAAGCGUGAUGUCUGCAACGCCCCCGCAGGGCACAGAUGUUCUGAGUGACAUCGGAAGUGAAUGCGCUGCUCUGCUGGGCUGUGGAAAGCUGCUCAUUUAGUUCUCCAUCCAGAUUCACCUCUGGAACUCCCAACCACACCCCACCAUUGGAAUGGAUGCCAACGGAGAGUGGGACCAGAAACACUGUCUUUCACCUUGAGUCCUAGGGUGCCAGCAAUGGGACUACCCAAGUCCCGUGCAGAGAAAUGACCAGACUCUGAGGACUGGCUGGCGGUCUGUCUCUAUGGUGUGAAACUCAGCAUGAGCCAGAGGGAAGAUCAUGGUGGGGACUGUGGUGUGGUGGCAAAUGUGUCCUUCCCAGGCUGAGUCAGUAAGAAAGCCAACGUGAAGCUCUGCCGUCACCGGACCACAAGACCUCCCGGGAGAUCCGCUCUCAUUUCUCUCCUUAAACCUCACUAACAUCUCCUCGAAGAGAAGAAGCUGGCUGCCACCCAUGGCAGGAGGCAAGAGCAUCUGAAGCUGACUCCAAGUACCCACCAAGGUUCCUUCCACAUCCCAGGAUGGGAGGGGCUGGGGAGUUAGGACAUCAAGCCCUGGCAGCACUCAGUCUUCUGCAGUUCGCAUCUGGCAGGGAUCUCACCAUCCUCUACCCAGCAUCACAAGGACGGAGAGAGCUCAGGGUCCUGGGGACUGGGAAUCAUUCUUGGGUUUGUUUGAAAUGUUUUCUAAACAAACAGUCUGGUCACUCCUAGUUUUCAUGUACAUCUCAACUCCGCUUCAACUUAAACUUUAUUUGUAUAAAACCCA